RNAcentral lists this ribosomal RNA (402 nucleotides) under uncultured prokaryote. RNAcentral's name for it is "bacterial SSU rRNA". It matches the Rfam family "Bacterial small subunit ribosomal RNA", at positions 355 to 774 of the family's 1533-position model. The record is from RNAcentral.
UGGGGAAUAUUGGGCAAUGGGCGAAAGCCUGACCCAGCAACGCCGCGUGAAGGAAGAAGGUUUUCGGAUCGUAAACUUCUAUCCUUGGUGAAGAUAAUGACGGUAGCCAAGAAGGAAGCCCCGGCUAACUACGUGCCAGCAGCCGCGGUAAUACGUAGGGGGCAAGCGUUGUCCGGAAUGAUUGGGCGUAAAGGGCGCGUAGGCGGCCUGGUAAGUCUGGAGUGAAAGUCCUGCUUUUAAGGUGGGAAUUGCUUUGGAUACUGCUGGGCUUGAGUGUAGGAGAGGUAAGUGGAAGUCCCGGUGUAGCGGUGAAAUGCGUAGAGAUCGGGAGGAACACCAGUGGCGAAGGCGACUUACUGGACUGUAACUGACGCUGUGGCGCGAAAGUGUGGGGAGCAAACA